RNAcentral lists this ribosomal RNA (890 nucleotides) under Pachysentis canicola. Its description in RNAcentral is "SSU rRNA". It matches the Rfam family "Eukaryotic small subunit ribosomal RNA", at positions 414 to 1309 of the family's 1831-position model. Lineage: Eukaryota; Metazoa; Acanthocephala; Archiacanthocephala; Oligacanthorhynchida; Oligacanthorhynchidae. The record is from RNAcentral.
UUCCCAGGGGAGCGGCGGCCGCGCAAAUUACCCAAUCCUAGAUCGGGGAGGUAGUGACGAAAAAUAACAAUGCCGCAGUCGAAUAGACUCGGCAAUUGGAAUGAGUACAAUCUAAAUCCUUUAACGAGGAACAAUUGGAGGGCAAGUUCUGGUGCCAGCAGCCGCGGUAAUUCCAGCUCGAAUAGCGUAUAUUAAAGUUGUUGCAGUUAAAAAGCUCGUAGUUGGAUAUCAGGAGAUGAUUCACGGACUUCUUAAUGGAGCAACCGUGUUUUCGCUCCUCUUUGUACCGUAUCAUCGUCGAUGCACUUUAUUGUGUGUCACGUUUGAACGGCCUUUUUACUUUGAGAAAAUUAGCGUGCUUAACGCAGGCGUUACAGCUUGUAUAAAGUUGCAUGGAAUAAUGAAAUAAGACCUCGGUUCUGUUUUGUUGGUUUCCGGAAGCUGAGGUAAUGAUUAAUAGGGACAGACGGGGGCAUUCGUAUUGUGGUGUUAGAGGUGAAAUUCUUGGAUCACCGCCAGACGAACAACUGCGAAAGCAUUUGCCAAGAAUGUUUUCAUUAAUCAAGAACGAAAGUUAGAGGUUCGAAGACGAUUAGAUACCGUCCUAGUUCUAACUAUAAACUAUGCCAACUGGGGAUCCGUCGAUUGCCAUUUGUAGGCUCGGCGGGCACCCUACGGGAAACCAAAGUGAACAGGUUCCGGGGGGAGUAUGGUUGCAAAAUCGAAACUUAAAGGAAUUGACGGAGGGGCACACCAGAAGUGGAGCCUGCGGCUCAAUUUGACUCAACGCACGAAAACUUACCCGGCCCGAACACCGUGAGGAUUGUCAGAUUGACAGCUCCCUCUUGAUGAGUGGGUGGUGGCGCACGCCGUCUCUUUUGGGGAAAAAA